AUCUUUUGAGUAUGAAAAAGUACAAUUGCCUUCCAAGCAAGAGGAUUAAUAAAAUUUAAAAAAGAUA
RNAcentral lists this transfer RNA (67 nucleotides) under Tonna dolium. RNAcentral describes it as "tRNA-Gly". The record is from RNAcentral. RNAcentral also lists the same sequence under 2 other names. Lineage: Eukaryota; Metazoa; Mollusca; Gastropoda; Littorinimorpha; Tonnidae.